CCUACGGGUGGCAGCAGUAGGGAAUCUUCCACAAUGGGCGAGAGCCUGAUGGAGCAACGCCGCGUGGGUGAAGAAUGUCUUCGGAUCGUAAAACCCUUUUGUUAGAGAAGAAAGUGCGUGAGAGUAACUGUUCACGUUUCGACGGUAUCUAACCAGAAAGCCACGUCUAACUACGUGCCAGCAGCCGGGGUAAUACGUCGGUGCCAAUCGUUAUCCGGUUUGUUUGGGCGUAAAGGGGACGCAUGCGGGCUUUUUAGUCCGAUGGGAAAGGCGUCGGCUUAACCGGAGUAGUGCAUUGGAAACUGGGAGACUUGAGUGCAGAAGAGGAGAGUGGAACUCGAGGUGUAGCGGUGAAAUGCGUAGAUAUAUGGAAGAACACCAGUGGCGAAAGCAGCUCUCUGGUCUGUAACUGACGCUGAGGUUCGAAAGCGUGGGUAGCAAACAGGAUUAGAUACCCUAGUAGUC
RNAcentral lists this ribosomal RNA (465 nucleotides) under uncultured bacterium. Its description in RNAcentral is "partial 16S ribosomal RNA". It matches the Rfam family "Bacterial small subunit ribosomal RNA", at positions 338 to 795 of the family's 1533-position model. The record is from RNAcentral.